Long non-coding RNA from Acanthochromis polyacanthus (spiny chromis), 1555 nucleotides. RefSeq lists it as uncharacterized. The transcript is spliced from 4 exons. Lineage: Eukaryota; Metazoa; Chordata; Actinopteri; Pomacentridae. The record is from RefSeq and is a predicted model, not a curated record.
AGACCCUAGGGGACAAAGUGUACUCUCAACACUCCUCUGUUUUCUGUUUCUACUGUUAAAACGUGUCCCUUCAGAGGUGAGUGAGAGGACAGAGGUGAUGCCCGAUUGUCCUUUUACAUGGCAGGCAUUUUGAUGCUUCUGCAGGAAAAACACAGGCGUAAUUAAUAAGAAUAGUGAUGCCCCGUGUUUCUCCAUUUUCAUCACAUGCAUCAAAGUGACUGAAGCAGGAAGCUGUUGCUGUAGCUGCACCUGCUGAUUUAGAUACAGCUGCUUAAUUGAACUGGGCAGUAUGAUGUUUUAUGAGCAGAUGUCAUGUAGGAACUACAUUAAGUUGUGUGCUGUACACCCACACAGGUGUUUUCACUCUUUAUGGCUGAUUACACCUAUUUUAGAAUGAGCAAAAAGGAAGUAUCUGCACUUUAUAUACUCAUUUCCGUUUUUAUUUUUAAUCACUUUUAUUUAGUCUCUCUCCGGUCAUGUAUGAAAUUCUAGAAGUCUGAAUAACUGUUUGUGAGGCUGACAUGUCCACAAGGUAACACACAGGGGUAGAAGAUGUACUCAGAUACCGUAUGUAAGUAAAAGCAGCAUUCAUGCAAUGUGGCAGCACUCUGUUAUGAGUAAAAUCCAUGCAUUUUAAUUUGUACUUCUGUAAAAAUAUAUAAGUAGAACAAUGCUUCUCAUAUUAUUGGAGUGAUGCUGGAGCUGGUAAAGGUGGUUUAUGUGGUUCCUCUGCUGUGUCAAUGAUCGACAAAGUUCAACUAUAUUAUUACAUCAUUAUUUAUUCUUUCAUUAUUUUUAUUAUUAAAUAAAAUCGGCAAAGUAACUAAAGGUGUCAGGUAAAUGUAGUGGAGUAAAAAGUACAAUAUUUGCCUCUUAGCUGUAAUGGAGUAGCAAAAAAUAGAAAUAUUUUCGUUGCUCAGGUAACCUGUAACUGAAAAUUAUACUUAGGCACAGUGAUUGAAUAAUUCUAAUUAGUUACUUUUCAAUGCUUAGGCUUUCUGACUUGUCCACCUACAAUAUUAACAUCCAGCUUUGGCCUGCAGCUUAGGAAAAUAAAAAUAAAAUCCAAGCAAACAGCAAGUGAGGCUUUUAUUAUGAAACUGAUUUACGCACAAAGUAUUUUGACAUUGGCUUCAUAAAUAAAGAGCCAGAGCAGUUUCCCAUAGUGUCAGCAGCACACUGCCAUGUUCUAACCCACCUUUCUGUCCACGUGCAGCUUCUCUGGGCUUUCUGUACAGAUAUCUGGGAACAUCUGGCGGCCCGACGGAGCUCGACGCGAUUUUUUUCCUGCAACAUUUAACCAUAAAGAAACUGCGGUUUUAAAUGUGAUCGUUGUCCAGUGGAGGGUCAAGGACAGGCCACGACCCCCAGCUUCCUGCUAUGAGCUCCAACCCCCCCAGAGCCUUCGCCUUUGUCACAACACAGCCUUAUAGCUGCCGGAUACUUCGGUGACACAGACAUGCGAGUGCAGAAAGAGUUGCACGAUCGACGAGUUCUACCUCAAGAUACCCCUAUAAAAUAUUAAGAAAGCAGCAACUUCAGAUGAGGUAAAUAA